RNAcentral lists this long non-coding RNA (3143 nucleotides) under Manihot esculenta (cassava). RNAcentral describes it as "long non-coding RNA (MESC_LNC007606)". Lineage: Eukaryota; Viridiplantae; Streptophyta; Magnoliopsida; Malpighiales; Euphorbiaceae. The record is from RNAcentral.
UGUAAAUACGGCAAAACAGAUGUGGCUACUGGGUUGUUGAAGGAAAUGGUUGAGAGAGGUUGUGAGCCAGAUGUCAUGACCUACAAUUCAAUCAUUGACGCCCUUUGCAAGGAUAAGCUAGUUGCUGAGGCAUUAAACCUCUUUUCUCAACUGGGGAACAAGGGCAUUCCACCUACCGCUGUCACUUACAACUGCCUAAUUCACGGUCUUUGCAGUUUAGGUAAAUUGAAUCAAGCUUUAUCCUUGCUGAAUGAAAUGGUGGUGCAGAACAUAUCACCAGAUGUUUAUACCUUCAAUAUAUUUAUUGACAAUCUUUUUAAGGAAGGAAUGGUUUCAAAGGUUCAAGAAAUUUUUGGCAUAAUGGUUAAAUGGAAUAUUAAGCCUGAUUUGGUUACUUACAAUUCAUUGAUGGAUGGAUAUUGUUUGCAUAGCCAAAUGGAUGAAGCUAGAAAAAUAUUUGAUCAAAUGGUAAGGAGAAAAAUGGCAGAUGUCUUUAGCUACAACAUCUUGAUCAAUGGGUACUGUGAGAACAAAAGGAUUGAUGAAGCGAAGAAACUUUUUGAUGAAAUGCCUUAUAAACGUUUAGUUCCUAACAUUUUUAUUUACAAUACUCUUAUGAAGGGCUUGUGGCGAGUGGGAAAGUCCCGAACUGCAAAAGAUGUUUUCAAGCACAUGUGUUCUCAAGGACACCAGCCAGAUAGAAUAAGUUUCUCCAUUUUGCUCGAUGGAUUGUGCAAGCAGGGGAAUCUUGAUGAGGCACUUGCACUAUUUAAAGCAAUGGAAAAGAGCCGGUUGAAGCCUAAUCAUGUGAUCUAUACCAUUUUGAUUGAUGGUCUGUUUAGAGUUGGGAAGCUUAAUGAUGCCAAGAAAUUUUUUUCUAGGCUUCUUGAAAAAGGUGUGCAGCCUAAUGUUUAUACAUAUAGUACAUUCAUUAAAGGACUUUGCAAGGAGGGAAUAUUAGAUGAAGCAUACCAGGUCUUUAGAGGAAUGGAAGAUAGUGGAUGUUUACCGAAUGACUGUUGUUAUAAUGUGAUUAUUCAAGGGUUUCUCAGGCAUGAGGAUGUACCAAAAGCAUCACAACUUAUUGAUGAAAUGGUUGAUAAGGGAUUCUCUGCAGAUGCCACGACCACUGAAUUGGUAAUACAUUUAUCGCACAAUGACGGUCUCAUUUUGAGAAAACUACGAAAUCGAUCUGAAGGUUCUAAUGGCAUAAAUGCGAAGUGAGAUAUUAGCAAUUAAUGCUUGAUCAACUGAUGCAUGAGUUCUUUGUCAUUUUGUGUGUCAUUGGUACUUGAUUCUAUAUCAAUAUGUGUACAAUUACAAAUUCCUCAAGUUAGUUGCUUUUGUUUUUUCAGAGGAAACUGUUUAUUAGCAGUAACAUCAUGUUUUUAGGCUGCAUGGAUAGAAGACUAUAGUAAAGAUGGUUGUAUUUGGUAUCGGAAAAUGGAUAGAAGACUGUUGGGUAACCAUAUGAAUGACUGAUUUCUCUCUCUUUCUGUACUGAGAAAGCAAUUCUUAAUACAUUAUGUGUUACAUACCUUCUCGGUACAUUUUGUUAAUUGCUUUGAUGUUGGAAAAUUAUGUCUCAAUUCGCAAUUAUGACCUUGAAAAAAAGCAAAAUACUUGCAAACUCGCUAGAUAUUUCCUUUCAUGUCUAGGAAGUUGAAUAGUGUUUGGAAUCUUUUUCAAGAGGUACUUAAUUAUCACUCUUCUUCUAUAUAGGAAAUCAGUGCAUGUGAUUGUUUUUGUAUUGCAAGCAACAUGUGAUUCCAUAAGCAUCACUCAUAAUGUGCAUAGUCCCUAAUUUGCAUCUGCUGAUUUAUCCUUGAACUGGUGAUGUAACUCAGAAUGUAGGUGGUAGUUUGGCAAGAAGCAAAAGAAGGAUACCCGAAAACAUCAUUAGAAUAUUAUGUCCAAUCCAUUGUUCAAUUCAAAGGAACAAGGAAAAAAAAAAAAGAAAAGAAAAAGACAGUUUUGCUUAAGAUUUCAUGAAACUGAACCUUCCAGAAAUGUCUGAGUGGAUAAUGCAUAGACCAGGGUAUUAGAUAUUAGUGACAUAUGGCUGAUUGGCUAGUAGUGAUAUGUUUCUGAAAAGUUAGUUUGUAUGAUGAAAUUCAUCGAGGUGAAGAGGAGAUGGUUUCUGAUUUUAACUUGGUGUGGUUUAAUAUUUUGAGUAAACAAUGCAAGCAGCUACAUGAUUUUACUUGAUAUGGUUACCUAUUUGGGACUGCUGGUUUUAUCAUUUUAUUGGUUUUACCUGCACAUUAAUGGAAUUGUGUACACAAAUUACAAGUAGUUGAACUCGUUUUGAAUUUCAUCGUCUUUCGUAACGUUGUACAAACUCUCUUGUUUUGAGCAAGCAAGAUCGUUAGGAAGGAUAUAAACUUGAGCUAUUUAAUCUUGUACUGCAGAAAUUACUUGUGCAAACCUCUGUUGCCUAGGCAGAUGUAUAUGGAGUCUUCUUCAGAAUCUGUAUCCUCUAACUGUUUUUGACGCCAUACGUCAAAAACAUAUGGAAUUAUGAAAUUUAUGCUGCUUAAAAUUAAGGCUUAUCAUUAUUACAGUUUAGUGUCCUUGGUCAAUGAUCAAAUUCAUGACUCAUCUCUCAGGGUGUUAGUUAUUCUGUCUCAAGUACUAGCCAGUGGUGCAGUGGUGAAUAAAAUAAAAUGUAGGUUCUGCAAAUAGUUGAUCUCACACAAUAUUUAUUCUCUUAGCAUUUUGAUUAAUAGCUACUGCUGCUUAAACCGUGUGGAUUUUGGAUUCUCAGUUCUGAGUAAAAUCCUAAAACUUGGAUUAGAGCCCAGCAUCAUGAUAUUUACUACCUUAAUUGAUGGGCUGUGUAAAGGGGGUACAAUCAAUAGAGCAGUAGACCUUUUCAAUGAUAUCGUUGCAAGAGGUUUUCAACCUGAUGUUUAUACCGACAAUAUGAUAGUAAAUGCUCUGUGUAAAUACGGCAAAACAGAUGUGGCUACUGGGUUGUUGAAGGAAAUGGUUGAGAGAGGUUGUGAGCCAGAUGUCAUGACCUACAAUCCAAUCAUUGAUUGCAAGGAUAAGCUAGUUGCUGAGGCAUUAAACCUCUUUUCUCAACUGGGGAACAAGGGCAUUUCACCUACUGCUGUCACUUACAACUGCCUAAUUCACGG